Molecule: ribosomal RNA, 497 nt
Filed under: uncultured bacterium
Lineage: Bacteria
Description: partial 16S ribosomal RNA
Rfam family: Bacterial small subunit ribosomal RNA
Source: RNAcentral
GAUGAACGCUGGCGGCGUGCCUAAUACAUGCAAGUCGAGCGAACAGACGAGGAGCUUGCUCCUCUGACGUUAGCGGCGGACGGGUGAGUAACACGUGGAUAACCUACCUAUAAGACUGGGAUAACUUCGGGAAACCGGAGCUAAUACCGGAUAAUAUAUUGAACCGCAUGGUGCAAUAGUGAAAGACGGUUUUGCUGUCACUUAUAGACGGAUCCGCGCCUCAUUAGCUAGUUGGUAAGGUAACGGCUUACCAAGGCAGCGAUGCGAAGGCGACCUGAGAGCGAGGUUGGCUAGACGGGAAGUGAGGAACGUCAGAGACACCGGCGGUGGGAAGCAGUAGGGACUCCUACGCGAUGGAGGAAUGCCUAAUGGAGGACCGCCGGGGAAAGGCUGAAGGAGCUAGGAUCGGAGAGCUAUGAAAGUCGGAAAGUUGAAAUGUGUUAGUAACUAUGAUGAUCAUGACGGUACCUAGUGAGAAAGCCCCGGCUAACUACGUG